CACGACUAGUCACUCUGGAUUGAACAGCUCUGUGAAUUAUUCAUGCCAUGGAAUGUUACUACUGGUGUUUGCAAGCUUAACCAAUUGGCCAUCAGCUGUGACCAGGACUGGCUGUGACCACACAAUUAAGUAAUCAGUACACACACCGAUUAUCACCUCUUGCACCGAUCAAACCAGAGCACGCAGACCUAACCAAACAGAUAAAGGAAACCACAAGAAAUGAAGAAAAGCAAACACGCACUCAUCGAUCCCUUCAUAGCUGAUCGAUCAAUCUCUUCUUCUUGCUCGCUACGUACUACGACCACGUUCGACAUCCUCUCAUGUCGAUCCAUCCAUGAUCCACCAUCUCCACGUGCACUGACUCACCGAGCUUAGCUCGACUAGAUGGAGCAGGUUUUCUCAAAAAAAAAAAAGACUAGAUGGAGCAGGUGUAGCCGGUGGGAGGCGUCUUGCCGCAGGUGAGGAGGAGCUGGAGGGCGAGGGGCAGGACGAGGUUGAUGUUGAGCAGCUUGAGCCGGAUGGUGGUGCACAGGCAGACCGCCGCCUCCAGCUCCACAAGCCCCUCCAGCAGCGGGCAGCACUUGUUCACCACCGGGUCGCCGAGCCCCACGUGCACCAGCCCGCCCAGCAGGUCCACGCACGCGCCGAUCUUCAGCGAGUCCACCGGGCACGUUUGCGCCGCGGGCGUCGCCGGUGGUGGCGGAGGGCAUGGCGUGUUCACUGGCGGCGUCGGGUACGUGACCGGGGGAGCGGUGACUGGAGGUGAAGGGUAAUGACCGGAGGGGCGGUCACCGGUGGCGCAGGGUAGGUGACCGGAGGGGUGGUCACCGGUGGCGCUGGGUAUGUGACCGGAGGCGCGCUCACCGGCGGCGUGGGGUGGGUCACCGGCGGGCCGACGACGACAGGUGGCUUGGUGACCGGCGGGCGCGUGAUGGGGCCCUUGGGCGGACCGUAGACCGGCGGCCGGGGCACGUGGCCCUUCGGCGGGCCGACGACCGGCGGGCGAGGGACGUGGCCCUUCGGCGGGCCGACGACCGGCGGGCGCGGGAGGUGGCCCUNNNNNNNNNNNNNNNNNNNNNNNNNNNNNNNNNNNNNNNNNNNNNNNNNNNNNNNNNNNNNNNNNNNNNNNNNNNNNNNNNNNNNNNNNNNNNNNNNNNNNNNNNNGGUGGGGCCCUUGGGUCCCGGCUUGGGGUCCUUGGUGGGGGGCUUGGUCUUGGGCGGGUGGGAGGGCUUGGGGGCCUUGGGCUUGUCGCAGUCGCAGUCGAUGGCGGGCGCCGCGACGGCGGCGGUGAGGAGCAGGAAGAGGGUGAGCAGGAGCGGACGGAGCUUCUUCGUGCUCGCCGCCAUGGCUGCCAGCUGGUGGUAGUGGUGGACGAGCGUGGUGGUGGACAGGAGGAGUGAUGCGUGCUUCUAGGGUUUGUGAGUACUGUAGUUUUAUAGAGCGAGCUGGGUGCAUGGGAUUGGAGGCCCGUGAUCUCGUUGGUGGCUAGGGUUUUCAAAUUGUGCGUCUGUGACUGAGUGACUUACUGUGGACUGCGAUGUGUUGUUCGAAGCUUCACCAAUCACCACCCACGGGGCCAAAUUAUAUUACAUCCAAACGAAACACACGCGAAUUGAGACUUUUCAUUUUCUUGCCGUGUAGUGCGGUGCCUGAAAAAUUAUGUUAGUCAAAUUUUUAGACCGUUAGAUCACAGUCCAACAGUCACGAUCCUGGGUGCACUAUUUGUCUUCAACGUCUAGCUGUCUUCCUCCUGCAGCCUGAUCCCCCACAGGCCAGCUCACUGCCUGCUUCCACCACCUCCACUCGGCGGCGCUUUCGCGAUCGCCUUGCCGCCCCACCCUCCCUUGCCCUCAUCGAACAGCUGAUUUCUUCGGCGACCUCACACCCCAUUGCCGCAAUCCGCACCAGUCAACAUGUUUCUUCGCCUUCACCUAGGACAUCGAAGCUCACCGUCUCGAACACAUCAAGGGCAAGGUGCAGCCCGAAAGUUGUCGAAUGUACCACUGUGGCGUCCGAGCCAGCGACGAUGUCCGCGGCGGUGAGCACGGAUGGGGGGACUGCAGCGUCGGUGCUGGCAGCGGAGCUACGAGACGUCCGGGGUAGAGGAGGAAGAAGAGAGGAGAGAGCAAAUGAAAUCGAUAGGUCAGGAAGUGGAUUUGGCGUAAUUUGUGAUGUUGUUGUGGUGUUAGGUUCGAUGUGGAGGUCGUGCCUGGGCCUCCUCAUAAGGGUGCCGGUCAGCCCGGCGUUUAACACCUGUUUGAAGCGUGCGUAAUGGUCGCAAAAAAAAAAUUUUUACGCCCGGGCGAUUGAGGAGCCCGGCCGUAGAUGAUCUCACAUACGAUCCUUUUGGUACCACAGCAAAUUACCACCACACAAGAUUCUCUUGGUACCACUGCAAAUUACCACCGACAUUGAAAAGAGAUACAAUCCGUGCAUGCACUGUCGCAGUCAUGCCUGCUUGCACCAACAUACUCCUAGUCAAGAUCGAUGUCUAAUCCAAUCACGACUGGCCACUCUGGAACAGCUCUGUGAAUUAUUCAUGACAUGGAAUCUUACUACUACUGUUUACUUGUUUUCUUCUUAUUAUUUGCUAGCUUAACCAGUUGGUCAUCAGUUGUGACCAAUUAAUUAAUCAGCACACAUCGAUUAUCACCUCUGGCAUCAAACCACAACACGCAGGCCUAGCCAAACACAAAAUAAAAAUCACAAGAAAAACAAACACUCAUCGAUGCAUUCUUAGCUGAUCGAUCGAUCUCUUCUUGCUCGCUACUAGCUACUAGCUAGACGACGACCAUGCAUCGACAUCCUCUCAUGUCGAUCCAUCCAUCCGUCCGUCUCCACGUGCACUGGCACUGUGGCACACUGACUCGCCGAGGUUAGGUCGACUAGAUGGAGCAGGUGAAGCCGGGUGGCGGGGUCUUGCCGCAGGUGAGGAGGAGCUGGAGGGCGAGGGGCAGCGCGAGGUUGAUGUUGAGGAGCUUGAGCCGGAUGGUGGUGCACAGGCACACCGCCGCCUCCAGCUCCACCAGCCCCUCCAGCAGCGGGCAGCACUGGUUCACCACCGGGUCGCCCAGGCCGAUAUGCACCAGCCCGCCCAGCAGGUCCACGCACGCCCCGAGCUUCAGCGUGUCCACCGGGCACGUCUGCGUCGCCGGCGGCGCUGGCGCUGGCGGCUGCGAACCGCAGCCGCACCCCGGCGACGACGGGGGAGUGUUCCCCGGCGUCGACGGGGGAGCGGUGACCGGCGGAGACGGGGGAGUGGGAGUGGUGGCCGGCGGCGACGGGGGAGUGGUGACCGGAGGGGCGAUCACCGGUGGCGCGGGGUAUGUGACCGGCGGCCCGACGACGACGGGAGGAGUGGUGACCGGCGGGCGCGGGGUGGGCCCCUUGGGCGGAGGGUUGGUGAUGGGCGGGUAGGUGACCGGUGGGCCGACGACGACGGGAGGAGCGGUGACCGGCGGACGCGUGAUGGGCCCCUUGGGAGGGCUGUAGACCGGCGGGCGAGGGACGUGGCCCUUGGGUGGGCCGACGACCGGCGUCGGCGUGUGAGGGGCGUUGCCCUUGGGCGGGCCGACGACCGGCGUGCGAGGGAGGUGGCCCUUGGGCGGGCCGUAGACCGGAGGGCAAGGUACGCGGCUCUUCGGCGGGUGGGCGGGGGCCUUGGCCUUGGGCGGGUGGGAAGGCUUUGGGGCCUUGGGGGGCUUGUGGCACUCAUCGCAGGCGAGGGUGGGUGCCGCAAUGGCGGUGGUGAUGAGGAGGAAGAAGGUCAGCAGGAGUGACCGGAGCUUCGUCCUGCUCGCCGCCAUGGCUGCUACCUAGCAGCUAGCUUCUGGUGUGGAGCACGAACGAGGUGGAGCACUGAUGUGUGCUUCUAGAGUUUGUGAGUAGUGUGGCUUUAUAGAGCGAGGAGCGUGCACUGGAGGCCCGUGAUCUCUACGGUGGCUAGAGUUUUCAUACUGUGCGUGUAGGUGACUGGGGAGUGACUUUCUGUGUACUGUCAUGUGUUGUUCGAAGCUCCAUCCCGCGCGGGAGCAAAUUAUGUUAGUUCGUUUAGAUCAUAACAAAACACGCGUGAAAAUGAGACUUUCUAUUUCCAGGUCGUGUGGUUGUUUUAAAUUAAGGAGUGCCUAAUAGAGUUAGUCAAGAUGCCUGAAAAAAAAAUCACGUCAGUCAAAUUUUUGCAUGCACAGUUUGGGCAUUUCAACUUUUCAAGCCAAUCUCUUAUAUUUGAACUCCUUAUAUGCCAUUUAUUCUUAACUACUUGUACUUUGAGGAGCUAAACGAUGGCCAGACGUAGCAGAACCCUUAUAUUUAACCCUCUAAUUUCUUUUCUUUUUACCAAUUCUUCUAGCCUAUGUCACAUACUCCCUCGGUAAAGAAAUAUAAAAGCGUUUAGAUCACUACUUUAAUGAUCUAAAUGCUCUUAUAUUUCUUUACGGAGGGAGUACAUUUCAAAUAAUUUCAUGAUAUUUCAUGAAUCAUUUGAAUGACUUAAUUUGAAUAUACACAAACAAAUCAACCGUAAACAUGCAUAUGGUUCAUCUAAUCGAGCAAUUCAAACUAAAGCAUGCAUGUAGUUCAUCCAAAGGGCACCACGUCGAUCAAGUUUGAUCCAAAAUCACCACACCAUAGUAUGGUCCUAUGGCGUGGAUCGAGCCCUACCAAAGACAUGUUUCAUGCUCGCCAAGUCAAGCACUUUUGUGGUCAUCACCUCCAAAGAAAUCAUCAACACCCCACCACCAUCAUCCCCACGGCCACCACAGCCUCCAUGGACACCACCACCAUCACCCCCAUGACCACAACCAUAUCACCCCCACAAGAGGCCUUCGAUUGGACUGUGGUCUCUAAACGAGUGAGCUCCAUUUCUUCGGCCUUCAUCCCAAUACGUGUUUGCCACGGCAUCCGUCAUGCUUGGGUCCAUGAACAUGGUAGCCCUCUCUUCGGCCUUCUUCUCUUUUGCAAACCUUUCCUCCUCGAGUGCAAUCAUAUGCUCCUCCUUCUCUUCACCUUCCUCUCUUUGGCCGCCAACUUUGACCUCCACUUCUCGUCCUCCAAGCACUUGACCUCGUUCCACCUUGCCACCUUGUCUUCUUUGUGUUCGGCCUCCAAUGCUUUUCUUGGUCUCAAUCAUAGCACAGAGCUCUCCUUCAUGUAGGUAUCGGCGCUUCCACACGGUUCUUCCUCUCUUUUGCAAGCUUUUGCACAUCCGGCCUCCUGUAAGGAUUUUCAUCCUCCUCGUCAUCGCUCGCUGCACCCACACCCACUCCUUACACACCGUCUGAUCUUGUUCUUCCACAGUUCACAUGGCUCCAUGCCGCCAAAUAAGGUGCUUCAUCUAAAUCUUCAAGACUGCUAAAACCCUAACCCUAACUCUUAACCAAAGUUUUAAAUCGUGGGAGAAAUGAUUUUGUGACAACUUCUCUCGGCAUCUAUAGUGGGUGCUAUUGAGGAUAAUCAUUGAUGUAGCAAGCACUUUUCCAGUCGGAGGAGAUUAUUUUCAUAGGUUAUUGCUCAAUUUCGGGCGUUUAGCUACAUUUCUGUAGGAUUUCGCAAUGGUGGCCCCCUAGCAGCUAUAGCUCCGCUAUAGCGGCAAUUUCGUGGGACAUUUAGUUUCAUGCUCUUAGCUCGUCUCUCUUCCGGCUGGAAGGGGUGUGCGCCCUUUACAUGAAGUCCCUACCUCGGUUCAAAAUGUUCUUCCCAUCACUGAGUCCAAUCUGGCUUGCUAGACAGGAAGAAGAUGAAAGAUCAAGGAAGAGGACAUAUCUUGAAUGAAAAGAAAAACUUUGGUUGUCGAUCACUAAAUAUAAAACAAUAGAUGUAAGUUAUUACGUCAAUGCAACCAACAGGAAACAGUAUCAGACGGUAACUAGAUAGGCAAUGAUACAAAUAAUGCCUUUGGAGCACGGCAGAUUGAGCCCCUUUUUAAGUUAAAAAAGAAUUAUGGCCUGAAAAAUUCCAAAAUUUUGUGUACCUAUAGUAUAGUAGUGUACUAUAAUUGCGCAAAUUUAUAUCAAUAUACGUGCUUGCAUGUGAAAGACACAAAAAGGACAAAUACAUGAAAAAAAUUGGAUUUUUUGUUGAUUUUUGGGCCAAAAGUUUGUCUUCUUUGGUUAGCGUGCAAUACAACAUACUAUUGAAUGAAAUUUAACAUACACUUAGACCACGUGCAUGUGUAUUCAUGUAAAAUAAUCAAAUCUUUUCGAAAUUUUUAAGCACCAUUUUUUAGGGGUUUAAAAAACGUUUUCUAAUGCAACCCUGCUCCAAAAGUCCGCUUUAGGCAAUGAUACAGCUACUAUAUAUGAGUAGUAUUUUUGAAAUAAACUACUCCCUCUGUAAACUAAUAUAAGAGCGUUUAGAAUACUAAAAUAGUGAUCUAAACGCUCUUAUAUUAGUUUACAGAGGAAGUAUAUAUGAGUAGUAUGUUGAAAGGAGUUGCAAGUGCCGGUGAUUUCGGCCUGGGUACAGGAUCGCCGUCUCGUGACUAAUGUACGGCGAUGGUGCUCUCUUCCUAGGUUGUUGUUCUCCGUUGAAUAGAAGACAAUGGAGUACAGUACGUAUUUUGUACUCCUACGUACAUACGUACGUUUCGCGUCGAGAUGGAUCUGCACAUGCAUGCUAUAUCCUUCCAUCCGAUUGGACAUGACAAAUCAAUCCGCAUUUUCAUGGAAGCCUCAUUUUUCAUGCACGCGUGAGAGCGUCAUCUAGCUAGCCCCCAAGGAGCCCCAAAUGAAUGUACAGUACUGUGCUGAGUAUCUCUGACCGACUGAGCUUAAGAAAACGGAAAUGCUUUCUGGCGUCUGUUCCCCAGGAGGAAAUCCCCAGAGAACAUCCCUCGUAGCCACAGGAUUAAGAUCUGACUAUGGCAGUUUUUAAAUAAAAAUAAACGAAAUGCCAUUGAGCCCCUUUCUUAGAAGAUAAAAAAUGAAACUUUAUGUCCUGAAAAAUUCUAAAAAAAAGUGCUUGCAGUAGUAGUGUACUAUAAUUGUGCAAAUUUAUAUCAAUAUAUGUGCUUGCAUGCGAGAGACACAAAAAGACAAAUACUUGCAAAAAAAUAGGAUUAUUUUUUUGUUGAUUUUGGGGCUGGAAUUUUGUUCUUUUUGUGUAACAUACAACUACAACGUAUUAUUGGAUAAAUUUUAACAUGUACUUAAACCACAUGCAUGUGUAUUCAUCUCAAAAAAACAAAUCUUUUCGAAAUUUUUAAUCACCAUUUUUUAGGGGUUUAAAAAACAUUUUCCAAUGCAACCGGGCUCAAAAAGUCCGCUUUAGGCCCUCUAUUUCAAAAUAUAGUGCGCCCGCAUUUUUUGAGGUCCAACUUUGACCAUAAAUUUAACCAACGAGACCAACUGUGGGCGGAGAAAAAAUUAUAUAAUUGAAAACUUCUUUCGAAUACGAAUUCACUGGUAUAAUUUUUGCUCCCGCCGCAAUCGGUUUUGGUAGUUAAAUUUACGGUCAAAGUUAAAGCACGUGGAUAGAGGAAGCACUAUAUUGUGGAAUGGAGUGAGUACUAUAUAUUUUUUUUGAAACGGAGGCAAAAGAUUUGCCUCAUCGAUUAAUUAAGAAGAAGAGAAUUGCCCAGUUAAUUUUUGGAAAACCGGGCAAAAACCGAUACAAACAACCCAAGGUCGUACUACUCACAGAACAGGAAACACCGUGACCGCACAUGUGGCCCUCCCAAUGCACCACAACCGAAACCCUUGACACUUGUACAACACAGCGGAGCUUCACACAAGAACAUCGACCACGAUAAAAACGGAGCACCCUCCAUCAUGAAAUCGUGGGCGUCUUCCGAAUAACACCGCCCUUCUUGCUUUUGUUUCUCUUUGCUUUCUCCCUAUUGGGUUUCUUCUUGGGGAGGCAACCACUUGUGAUGCCGGGUCCAGACUGAUCCGCCACCCAUUUGUCAAGAAAAUCAUAGAACUCAUUGUACUUCUUGAUGUAGUUGUCAUCAACCAAGGGGCUCCUACUAGGGGCAGGCACCAACAAACCGGCCGCAUCGACAUCAUCGGCCCGAGGAACCCCCAACACAUCAUCCUCCACCACAGGAACCAGCGACACAAUGGACUUCGGCGCCUCCAGUUGCUCACACGACAGAGGCAAAACAUCUCACACAAGGUUGUCGACGAGUCCACUUCCAACCGCUCCAAGGACAGAGGCGAAGCAGGGCUCGAACAGAUAUCCCGAAGCUCGGGCAUGAGCUGUAGCACCGGAGUCGCAAGCACAGCGAUGGACUCGCCCACAUCGACAUGCACAACAGACGAAGCAGACAUCAAUGAUGAAUUGUCCCGAACACGAGGGGAGAAACAACCAUAAGGAUCUGCCCCUUCGUCCUCCGUGGAGCCAACAUGAGGGAGUGGUGUCUGCGUGGCCAGAAACGUAGCCGGCAAAAAGGAGAGCCUGCUCAAAGCAGCCUCAGCCCGUUCCAGGAAGCUCUCAAUACGUGUCUGCCAACCCUGAAGCAACUCGGUCUGAUCAGCCAGAGCGGUCUGAAGCACAUCAAUGGAUGGGGAUGCCGGGCUAGCGGAAACAGAAACCACAGACGCCCAAGAUCCACGGUGAAGCGCAACGGAAGGGAGUGUGGAUUUUAAUUGGGCCUCUCUUGGAGUAGGAGGUUGACAAUGUUGGAUGCCAAGGCGAGAGACGGGCGGGACAACAAGAUAUGCCAGAGAGCUGAGAGAACGCCAUGGGUUGCGGCAGUCACAAGCACGAUGACCGUUCUCCAAGCAACGAGAGCAUCGGAAGGGAUCUCUGCAAACCGCCGCCCGGUGUCCAGGGGCGAGGCAUCUGCAGCAUCGACCGCGAAGCCAGGCAAGGAUAGGCCGGGGAGCCAGAGCCAAUGUCGGCGACGCCGAACGACGCCGGCCCCCCACCUUCACCCAUCCCUGGUCCAAAGACGCCUCAGGAGCAGCAGCGACAACAGCAGCGGCAGCCGGAUCGCUCACCCCACUAGAGCACCUGGCAGCCAACGGCGUCAGCGGGGCGAGCUCAUCUUCAUCAUCAAUGCUGCAGACGUUGUCCGCGAGGGAAGCCCACGACACGGCCAAUGGCGGCUGCGGGGUCCGCACAGCGGCGUCGGGGGCUGCACCUAAAUCGGGGCCAACAAAGGGAGCUCCAUGAAGACCAUCGUCUUCGGCAGCAGCGACAGGCGGCGUGGUAGGCGUCGGAGUCGCCAGGCUCAGAUCGGAGCUGGCCCGCGUCUUGGUUGUGGAGGGCCGCAGCAGUUGCAGGCGUCCCCGCACGGCCGGGUCGGCCUUGCGGAAGGCAAGGAAAGUCGCGGCGGCGCCGUUCACAGAGGGCAGCGGCAGACAGGCUGAGGUGGCCUCCGUCGUUGUAGCAGUGGUGGUGCCGUCAGAAGGAGUCAGAGAGGCCGGGGCGGCCUCCGUCGUCGUACCGGUGGUGGCGCCGGCAGGAGGCGCCCGAAAGGCCGGAGCGGGCGCCGUUGUUGAAGCAGGGAGGACACCGGCAGGAGGUUCCCAAGAGGUCGGGGCGGCCGCCGACGUCGGAGCUUGGGGAGCCAUGGCGGGCGAAUGAACGGAGAGGCAGACUGAAGGAGAGGAGAGAGCGCGGCACGGGGGUGCCGGAUCUGGGCACGCCGGACGCGGCAGCAGACCGGAGCGAGGAGAUCAAGGCGGCGGCGGCCGCGCGGGUACGCGCACCAGGGCAGUCGCGAUCUCCGUCGCGGCUGUCGUUUGACUGGAGUUUUGCUGAGUACUAUAUAUGAGUAGUAUGUUGAAAGGAGUUGCCAACUGCCGGUGGUUUCGGCCUGGGUACAUGAUCGCCGUCUCGUGACUAUAUGCACAGUACGUAUGGCUCUUCCUAGGUUGUUGUUCUCCGUUGAAUAGAAGACGACGUAGUACAGUACGUAUUUUGUACUCCGACGUACGUACGUUUCGCGUCGAGAACUCGAGAUGGAUCUGCACAUGCAUAUCCGAUUGGACAUGAGAAAUCAAUCCGCAUUUUUAUGGAGGCCUCAUGUUUCAUGCACGCACGAGAGCGUCAUCUUGCUAGAAGCCCCCAAAGAGCCCCAGAUGAAUGUACAGUACAGUGCUGAGUAUCUCUGGCCGACUGAGCUUAAGGAAAACGGAAAUGCUAUCUGUCGUCCGAGGAAAUCUCCAGCGAACAUCCCUCAUAGCAACAGGAUCAAGAUCUGACGGUGUGGCAGUUUUUGAGUGAAACAAACACUAAAAUAAAUGAAAUGCCAUGCUUUUGGGCAAAAUGCCAUCCCAGAAUACCUAAAAUGCCAGCCGCGAGUGCCAUCUAGCUGGCUAUUGCAGUCCAAAGAAAAUUGUCGCGUCCUUUGAAUCACCGCAGCAUGCAAUGCUGCAUCAGCGCGUACGUCCGGACCGUGUGGCUGGUGGAGCUUUGCUACCUAGGUACACUCCGUACUCCUACAUCUAGUACAUGCCUGCAUGCAUGGCCAGCCGGCCCACAGUCCUCUGCACUCUGCACUGUGCUACGCGUGCCGCUGGGGCCACGCACGAGACCGACUAGCCACCACUCGGGUCCUCUAGCUACGUCUCUAGCCGCACUCGCGGUGCUACAUGGCCGAUAUUUUGCGGCCGACUUCCCUAUCCCUACGACACAAAUCGCAGCCAGCCAUGUAUCCCAUUCGGUCAGUGGCUACAGCCGUCGACCGAUUUUCGUACGCUAACUAUCGUCUUCACUGUAAUUCCGAUAUCCUCCUCUUUGGUUGUAUCGGUUGUCCCUUCCCUCCUGCGACUACACACGCGUAUAUACAUACUCUCUCGGUCUCUCCAAUUCAUAUCAGUUGUCAAUGAUUUAGCCCACGGUUGUACUAAAUCAGCGACAAUUUAUAUGGAUUUCGUAAUUUGCCGAAGAGCGAUAAAAUCAGAGGACGAGGGCUACACGUGCAUGCAUGCAUGCUGGGUUUGCACCAGGUGUGGUGUGUGUGGUGGAUCAAGUCGGGCGGAGGGAGGUAGCUAGCCGUCCGUGAUCCUGGUGGGGCAAGUGUGAAGUUGGAUCCAUGCGGCUCCGUGACCCGGCCGGCAGCCACGUCCUAUCCUGUUCCAAGAUACUCCUCCAGUCCUCCUCGCUAGCCCUCCGUCCGACGCUACUCGUCGUCUUGUCCAAAAUUGUUCUCCUCCCUCGCAAAGCGCAAAUCUAUGGGAGCCAGCGCGCGGUUUCACGUGGGCUCACUGCUCACAGCUCCGAUUGGACGGGUGGUACGUGGCUUUGUUUAGGCGACAGCACGUACGGACGGUUCAGGAUGCAUGCAAUGCAGUCGACCUGCUGCCGUCUCAUGUCCGUACUGUUCACAUUGCUUGAAUUCUAUUCUUUUUCUUGCAUUAGAAACGAGUAGUAUAUUGUUUAGAGCUUUACUUAGCUUGGAGGUCGACGUACUGUGUGCAAAUUAAGUCCAUGCGUACGUUACGAAUCUCUCUUACAUUGGUCGUGUGCGCCCAUGCAAUAUAUACACACAUUCUUGGCGGUGGAACCCAUGUGCGAUCUUGGCAUGUAUACUCCACGAGAUACAUCAUACAUCUUCUGACACAGCAAAGAACAAAGGUGUACUCCCUCCAUUCCACAAUCUAGUGAUCCCUUUAUCUCUGUGCUUCAACUUUGAUCGUAAAUUUAACUACCAAGAUCGAUUGCGGCGGGAGCAAAAGUUAUAUCAGUGAAUGCGUAUUCAAAAGAAGUUUUUAAUUAUGUAAUUUUUUUCUCCUGACGCAGUCGAUCUCAUUCGUUAAAUAUAUGGUCAAAGUUUGACCUCGAAAAGCGUGGGCGUACUAUAUUUUAGAAUGGAGAAAGUAUCUUUUCAACUCCACCUCAUCAAAAACCAUUGUGUGAGGUGUUCUUGCCACGGCACGCAUGUGCCCGUCCUUUGCCCCGAUCUCCCGGUAAUUCUCCGGUACAAUCGGAGGAGGCAAUAAGCUUUCUUUUUGUUUGUUUGAAAUUGCUGGCAAAUAAUAAGCUUUCGUCUCAGCGCGUCGGCAGGCAUGCUAUCAUAUCACCUUGUGCCACUUGCUCAACUGGCGCUGGGUGCCAAAGAGAUGUUCCAAAGCUAGUCAAAUAGUGGGGGUGACCCACUGCCAUCCACUUCUGUUUUGCCUUGUGUUCUUUCCAAAGCAGAGGAGGGCACGAGAUUACAGGAGCAGGCUCAAUAUUUAUUUCAUAUAAAUUCACUUUGGAAAGGGUUUGAACUUUUAGCAGAGUUUAAAGGAAACACCUCGUUGCAAGGAACGAUACCAACUUUCCACAUUUGUUCUCUAUCUUUUAGGCAAAUUUAAGAGUGCUAUUCAAGUGAGGUUAAUCAGGCGUGCCAUGUCCAACAUAAAGCACUUGGGCAGGCGCUUAAGAAAAUACUCACUCCGUUCCAUAAUAUAAGACUUUUUAAAGCUAUUUUAGCUUACAAAAAAACAUCUUAUGUUGUGGGAUGGAGAGAGUGUAAAUUAUUAUUUUUAGCUUAACAGUUUUGCUACCACCUCCAUUCCCAACAUAAACAGCUAUGAGCUACCCAGCAGGCACCUCACCUUGAUUCUUUCUGUACUCAUACCUGGAACUCUCGCCCUAGAGUCAGGAGACUUAGUCGGCAUCGAUGCAAAGUAAAAUCCUAGGAUUGCUGGCUCGCUAGGGUAACGCCGUAACGGCCAGGAAAUUCAUCUUGGUGCCUUGUGCUAGCGCCCUCGUUGGAGGUGCUCUUCAGACUCAUCGUUGGCGUCGCUCCCUUAUAGUGAAUUCUCCUAAGGUGCUAGCGGGCCUAAUGCAUUCCUGGCACUAGGAAGCCAUGAGUGCAGGCAUAAGUAACACACAUGCUUUUCUCCGGGGCGAAGGCCCAUUAUCUCUCCUUGCCGUCAGACCAGAUAGCAUUAAUGUACGGGCAUCAUAACCAUGAUGAAACAACAAUUUUGACUUGAAGAGGUGAUGUACCCAUGUUUGGGCUAGAUGGUUUUCACUUUCAAUGAGAUUUUUAUGAAAUUCAUUAAUUCCAGUCAUCUCACCAAACAAUGAAAUAUUUACCUUUUGGCCAAAAUACUAUGGGAAUUUCAUUAAUACAUAGGAAUUCAAAUAUUUUCCAUAAAUUUCAAAUAUUUAAUUGAAUUCAAGUGAAUUUUUUGUCCGUUUGGCUGAAAUGCAAACAAAAAUCACUGAAAUUUCAGUGAUUUUAGCUAGUGCUAAGAAUUAUCUGGAACUGAAAUUGGAAACCAUGGGCCUGGUUGGACCUUAAAAAAUCGGCAUAUGAGCGGAGAUCUCUCUUGAAAGUGUUGUCUUGUAGGGUUGUGCUUUGUGUUAGAUUACCUCUAGUUUUCUACUGGUGGAUACGUUCGACACUAGGUUAGCGAUAGUUCGUGGGGAAUAUAGCUAUGGCUUUUGAGGCUAGUGUAAAGAUGAUGACCUCUAACUUCCGUUGAGAGGAUGUGUUCGGUCUUAAUGUCCGACAUCAUCUUUGAUAUAAAAUUUGCUUCAUUUUCAAAGAAAGGAAAAUCUUACAGGAUACCUCAAUUUUGCCCCGGUUUAUUCAAUGAUCUUAUCAUUUAACCAUGCAUGACACAGAGAGAUUGAACUGCCAUGUGUUUAGAAUUCUACAAAUAAAAAUACCAUGUUUUUUCAAAAAAAAAAUACAGGCCAUGCACGUUCUAGUCCCAGCUUUAAGCACGCUGGAGGUCAUAUUGGUCCAUCUUUAUCUGAAGGGCAUACUGUCCAUUUUCGCCAAUCAAGUUGACUACGUGAAUUAGCACUCGUUCGAUAAUCCACAAAGCUCUAUUUUCCUGUGAACAACAGAAAAUCCACAAAUGGCUGCCCCAAACGACAAAAGGCCCAAAGCCUCAAAGGCCCACGAUAAAGCUCUCUUCUGAUCCCGGCGGGAAGCAGCACAGCGCUCCACGGCUCCACCCAUUCCCCAGUAUGAAGCGCAGAGCAACGACCACCUAGUUUAGUCCCACCUCGGCUAGCGAGGAGGAAUUCGACCGGCUUAAAUAGCUCGCUCCACCCUCAGAAUCGCCGAGCUCACUAGCGAGAGCUUGUCACCCAAGCGGGGGCUUUGAGGUGGUGUUGGACGGUGUUGUGGUGCUGUGGGCCUGGUCCAGUUGUGCUGUUGUUGGCCCGCCCGUUCCAAGUUGAGUAGUCGUCCGGCGGGGCUUAUGCGAAAGCUGGGCUUCACGGGCCAUGAUGUGGCAGGCACGGCGUGAGGCUGGCCUAACGGUGGAAGGAUAUUACAGGAAAAUUUUAGCUACAGUUUGUGUCCCAAAAACACAUUGGUCCUUCAUUUUUCAUGUGCAUUGCUCUGCUUAUAGUGUCUUGAAUUUUCCUGUAAUAUCUCCCAAGCGGACAUGGGGAUCAACUUAUUUCCUUUUGAACCUAGGGAACCAGGAGGGCUCUCAGUCCCACUGAUGAUCUAAAAGGCAGCGACACGGCAAUGCAAUCACAAUACACAUGACCAUCAUGACAUCAUCAUACAAGUAUGCCCACAGCCUGAGCAUAGAAAAGAUCCAACCCAAGCACAUAAACGUUCUUACAGCAGCACAGGUUGUAAUCAAGCACACCUUAUUGACUCGUAAAGCCACAUUGGGACGGCAAAUAGAUCCCAGAUAUCCAACAAGCGCUGCACAUCUUACGGAAGCACAAGUUAUUAACAACCCUAACAUGACAACCGAAUGAUAGUUUGAGCAAACAUGGCAUACCACAAGGAACUGAGACAGCACGCCAGCAACAGCGUUGCACAAAUAUACCCCAUGCUAGAUAAAAGCAGAUGCAGAAAAAAAAAACUUCAAGCGCAGCAACACAAGAUGUUCUCAAGCUCAUAUAUUAUUACUGACUCAUAAUAUCAAUAUCACACUCCGUUUCGGAAUAACACGUCAUAUCACACAGCAGCGUUUAAAUCAGUUCCACAUAGAGAUCCCAGACAAAGAGAGCGCCCACUUGGGCGUUAACAAUAUUUACGGGGCUGUCAGAUAUGAGCAGCCCUUGACAACUGACGGCGAAGCGAGUGAACAUUGCAUGAGCCGUACCUGCAAAACAGAGAGAAUAGAGUAAGAUGUUAGUUCGUCACAGAAUGAAACUGUUCAAGAAUUAAAGGAAGGAUAGGUCUCGACUAAGAGCCAUCUCAACUAAGGAAGAAUAGAGUAAGAUGUUAGUUCGUCACAGAAUGAAACUGUUCAAGAAUUAAAGGGCGUGUGUGUGUCAGCAGUGUCAUGCUGUACUACAUAAUACUGUGUGUUGACAAGUACCACUUUGCCAUGGUAAAUUGGUAGUGCAUAUGGCAGCCAGCAGUGAAGGAGUUUAAUAAUUAGUUUCCAUGUCUGUUAUUUCAUUAAGAUUAAGUGCUAACCUUUGGGUUUGUUUAUUAUCACUACUAGUAUACCAGAAACUAUCCUAUGCCACACCCUUUAAUCUGAAUCCAAUCUCAAUCAGUGAAUUUUCUAUAUGUGAUACCGUCAUACUUCAUUUUCUACCUUCACAAACAAAAGGACAAAACACCCAGCCCCUGUCAUCUGGAUGAGUUCCAAGACCACCGGCUUACUGAUCUCCAAGAUUCCAGUUAAUUGCAAGUGUUGAACAAGAUCCAUCACUUGGAUGAAUCAUGAAUGCCAGUGAAAUUAUGUUGUAAACACAGAGCAAUAGAAGUCUUAUCUAUGUGCGACUAAGAUUCAUGGUUCUAUCUAUCCAAAAAAAUAAUGGUUUUAAAUUGCUGAUAUAGGAUCAAGGCAAACUGGUUAUGGCAUAUGAAGUAUAAGGGGUACAUCGAAGUUGAAUAGCACAUAAUGUGCCUUUCUAGCAUGAAGCUAAUUCUGAUGUUGCUAUAUUUCAUGCCAUUUACAGUUUUAUAACCACAGCAAAAAGGAGAACAAUGAAAGAUUGGCAUCACACAGAGUGAAUGGAUCAAAGGGUAACUUUUGCACAAUGGGUAAAUCAUCCAAAUGGCAAGUGAAAAUUAUCCUCCAACCAUUCCCAAAAUAUAAGGUGUAUUAGUUUUUUCAAAAGUCAUACUUGUGCAUGUUUGGCCAAGUUGUUAAAAUAAUGUAUCGGUGCCUAAAAUACUAAAUUUAUAUCAUUUGACGCGCACAGGGCNNNNNNNNNNNNNNNNNNNNNNNNNNNNNNNNNNNNNNNNNNNNNNNNNNNNNNNNNNNNNNNNNNNNNNNNNNNNNNNNNNNNNNNNNNNNNNNNNNNNNNNNNNNNNNNNNNNNNNNNNNNNNNNNNNNNNNNNNNNNNNNNNNNNNNNNNNNNNNNNNNNNNNNNNNNNNNNNNNNNNNNNNNNNNNNNNNNNNNNNNNNNNNNNNNNNNNNNNNNNNNNNNNNNNNNNNNNNNNNNNNNNNNNNNNNNNNNNNNNNNNNNNNNNNNNNNNNNNNNNNNNNNNNNNNNNNNNNNNNNNNNUACAUUGACGGGACUAUAUGCCCUUGUGAUAUAAUCAAAAUGACUUGGCGAAAGGAUGUGGAGCUAUAAAUUGCAGAUAUAUAGGCCAGUACAUCUCAAUACCAUCAUUAUUUUGUACCAUGGAAGUACUUCCUGGAUUAGGCACCUAAGCAUAGCUUUCAGACUGAACUUCAACGAACAUGCAUAAUAUAGUACAAACUCCAACACAUGCAAAAUAUCCCUAUAUGGUACUCCCUCCGUCCGAAAAAGAUUGUCCCUCUAAUGGAGUAGAUACAUCCAUUCGAGGGACAAGCUUUUUCGGACGGAGGGAGUAUAUCACACUCUCAAUUGCAUACCGUAAAUAAUAUGUCAAAUAGAAGGGUGUGUUCAUACACAUAAACCAGGCUUGAUAGAAGCUUGACAACAUAUGCACAAUAUUCAGUGUUGCUAUCUUUUGUUGUUAUUAUUGUUACAGCCUUACAGGUAUCAUGUACUAAUCUGAAAUCUAUCUUUUUAAGUGUAAAACUGAACCAGAAGCACCACAUUAUUUCUCAAACUUAUCAGCUAAAGAAUUCCAAAUCGAAAGGCUUGAAAGAAUCACCACAUUAUUUCUCAAACUUAUCAGCUAAAGAAUUCCAAAUCGAAAGGCUUGAAAGAAGCACCACAUUACUUCUUAAACUAAUCAGCUAAAGAAUUCCAAAUCGGAAGGCUUGAUAGAAGCACAACAUUAUUUCUUAAACUCAUCAGCUAAAGGAUUUCAAAUCAAAAAGCUUGAAAGAACUUUGACAACAUUAUACACAAUAUUCAGUGUUUGCUAUCUUUUGUUGUUAUUAUUGUUACAGCCUUACAGGUAACAUGUACUAAUGUGAAAUCUUCAAUUUUAAGUGUAAAACUGAACCAGAAGCACCACAUUAUUUAUCAAACUUAUCAGGUAAAGAAUUCCAAAUCAAGAGGCUUGAAAGAAGCACCACAUUACUUCUUAAACUUAUCAGCUAAAGAAUUCCAAAUCGGAAGGCUUGAAAGAAGCACAACAUUAUUUCUUAAACUUAUCAGCUAAAGGAUUCCAAAACGAAAGGCUUGAAAGAAGAUUACAUACGCACCACGACAACCUAACAAUCACAAAUUCUCAUCAUAGCUGAUGAGACGACAUUAAAGGACCAAGUCUCAAGUAUAAAAGGUAAACAAUAUGGUGCAGCAGCAGGCAAGUAGUAUACAAUAUGAUAUACAAUGCUCUUGACCUUGAAAGAAGCUCGGUGUUAUACACGAUAUGCAAAGCUAGCUAACCUUCGCUCUUACAGUUGUUAGCGGUAACAUGUUAGGACAAAUAUUAGUUGUACAAAUGUAAAUCUAGAAUAAUGCAGGUGCAAAACUAAGCCAGAAGCUAAAAAAAGCUUACAUAAGCACCAGGACAACCUAACAACCACAAAUCCUCAUCAUACUUGAUGAGACGACAUUAUUACAGGACACAAUUUUUCUUAUGUACUCCCUCCGUCCCAAAAUUCUUGUCUUAAAUUUGUCUAGAUACGGAUGUAUCUAAUACUAAAACGUGACUUGAUUCAUCCGUAUUUAGUCAAAUCAAGAAUUUUGGGACGGAGGGAGUAAAAACUAUAAACAAUAUUGUGCAGCAGCAGGCAAUUAGUAGUAUAUCACUCGUUCAUUCGUAUACGAGGGGCCAGGCUUAGAUCUAAAUAAUCACCUGAAGUGAAGUGAAAGCCGUCGUUCAGCCGCGGGCCUUGAGCUCAGCGAGGCGGCGGGUGAGGUCGUCCUCGUCGACCUUCUCCUUCUCCUUGGCGGCCGGGAUGGCGUGGGCGGCGGCCUGGGGGAGGCCGACGGAGACCUCGAGGCCGUAGUCGUCGGCGACCUGCUGCAUGAGGGAGUUGACCUCGGUCUCGGGCGUGGAGAGGGAGGUGGAGCCGGCCAUGGCGCCCUCCAUGAACUCGGCCUGGACCUCCAUGUUGACGAACUGGCGCUCGAAGCUGUCCAUGGUCUCGGACAUCUUCUGGAGGUUGCCCGUGGCGAGGGAGGAGUCGAGCGACUUGACGAUGUUGCCCAUGGACUUGCCGAUGGCCUGCAUCUUGGCCUGCGUGUCGAGGCGGGCGACGACGGCGUCGAGGCGGGAGGCGAGGCGGAGGUAGUUCAUGUGCUCGGUGCGCUUGCGGAUGGCGUUCUCGGCGUAGAUCCGCGCGCCGUCCACGUUGCCCUUCUCGAUGGCCUUCUUCACCUUGAGCUUCUGCUCCUUCUCCUCCUUCUCGCACUUGCGCGCCUGCCGCUGCAGCGACUUGGACGUGAACUUGAGGUCGAAGAUCUGCGCCAUCAGCUUCUCCGGGUUGCCCAUGGCUGCCUAGCUAGGGUUUCGGGGCGGGGCGGGGCGGGGCGAGGGAUUCGGUUUGCGGCGGAGGUCUGGUGGGGGUCGGGGCUGGGAGAUCGGGAAUUGGGGAUUGCGGAGAGGAUUGGGGAUUUUUUUAGGGGAGAGGCCAGGCCACACGCGGUUUGGUUGUGACACGGCGAAGCAACGAGCCGCUGCGUGUGGGGUCGGCCGACGGCGCGUGCCGUGCGUUCCAUGGACUAGGGGUCUGACUUUUUUCCCCUUGCUAUAUACUCCCUCUUUUUUUUGAACUUCAUAUACACUCUCUCUGGGAGUAUCUGUUUUUUUUCAACGGUUUUGCUAAUUCUCGGUCGCCUACGCAUUGCGAAGUUUUUAAUGGCCGUCGAGAUUUUCGUUCUUGCAAUCACUUGUGAUUCCGAGUGCAUGGAUCCUCGGAGGGGACGAGAAAUUAUCAUAGGAUCCGUGCGGCACCGACGCGCGCGGAGAUGAUGACGAUGGUGAUCUGAUUUUCGCAUCGGUGGUUAGAGUGAAGCCGAUGCUCGCGCAUGAUGUAAGUGAUGGCUUCGUGAUUUGUACUUGAUCUGAUGUUAUUGCUAGACUAGAUGCUUGCAGACUCGCGAUUCCGCAGGUGUUGUUUCAGAUACGAUAGGGUUCUCCGACUUGACUAGACCUAAUGGGAUUCCACCACUGACCGGCGUCGUCGGUUCGAGGUGGUAGCGAUUUAAGUUUAGAAGUAAGUAUUUUCGGCCGCACGGGGGUGUGCUUCGUAUGUGGGCUUCGAGGGUGCAUCCCUAGGAGGCUUGUUGGGUGGCUUGUGGAUCAGGAAACGAGGGCAAUGUCAGCGAUCCGUGUUGGUCUGGACAGUGGACCAUCACCUUGGGCCUGGCCUGCCCUGACGGUAGCAAGCAGAGGCCCUACAAAUAGCAGGAAGAGGGAAACAAAACGGAGCUUGGACCAGAAUGGACUGGCGGCUUCGGUCGAGGCUCUCUCGAUAGGAUAGGUCAUGUUCACCGUCUCCUUCCUCUGAUACCCUUCUUCCUGAUAAUCGUCUGUCAUUUGUGGCUAUAAUCGAUGGACCAGUCAUCAAUUGAGAGUACUUUGCAUACCACCCCACCCCGUGCGCCUCCAGUGUAUGAACCGACCCACUUAAGUUUUUCGCCAGAACCUUUGCUGAAUCAGUUUUCUCCUGGUUUUUUCUUUUACAUUUUCCCUUUUUCUUUUCUGUUUUUCCUUUCUUUUGUUUUGAUUUUCACUACUUCUUUUCUUUUUUUCAUGCUCAAAUAUUCUUUCUAUUUUCCAUUUUAUUUUAUUUCUUAUUUCUACUUGAUUUUCUAAAAAGUUGUGAAUAUCUUAGAAAUUCGUAAACAUUUUUUGGAAUGCUGAACAUUUUAUGAAUUCGUGAACAUUUCUGGGAAAUCAUAAACAUUUUUUAAAUGCUUUUUUUUCAUAUUCACGAAGAUCUUAUCCAAAUCCACAAAGACCUUUUGAAAUUAUGAACAUUUUUUGAAAUUGUGUAUAGUUUUUGGAAACUCAUGAAAAACUUUUCAGUUGGCAUAGUUUUUCUAAUGGACGAACAUUUUUUUUGAAAUGCGUGACAUUUUUUAAAUGUUAGGGAACAUUUUCUGAAAUGCAUAAGUAUUUCUUCGAAUCCAUGAACAUUUUUUGACUUAUAAAAAUCGAAUUUAUGAACUUUUAAAUUUUGGGAAAAAUUGAAAUUCGAUUUGUUUUUGAAUUUUUGUGAACAUUUUUUAAAUUUUCAUAAUUCUUUUUGAAUUUGCAAACAUGUUUUCAUAUUCAUGAAUAUGUUUUAAUCAUCCGAUUUUUUUUUGAAGUCAUGAACAUUUUAUAAUUUCCAAAAUCAUGAUCAUUUUUUGAAUAUGUGAAUAUUUUUUCAAAAUCACGGACAUUUUUGAAUCAAAGAACAUUCUAUAUUUUCUCUAGCAUUUUUCAAAAUUAGGAACAUUUUAUAAUUUCACGAACAAGUUUUUUAAAAAAUCGCAUUUUUUAUUUUUUUUAAUCCUGUAUUAAGGAAGGAAAAACUGAAUUAGAAAAUAGUAAAGGAAAGAAAAAAAGUAAUGAUAAAAAUAUGCUUUUGUAUUGUAAAAAGUAGAAACUGAUACACAAUAACUCAAGGAAAGAUAACCGCAUCUCAAAGCAAAGCAAAGAUGAAAGAACGGUGCAGGAUAUGCCGCUACCUAGCAGUUCCGCUAAAUUUUCUGCUUUGCGGCCUCCUCCUCCUCCGCUGGCUCCGUCGGUGGGGGUGUGCGCAGAGGCUUCGAUAUACCGAUUGGAGCCGUAGUUUCCUCCUCUUGGAGCAUUAGAUAUGUCUCUGUCCUUCCCUCAAAAAAAAGAGAUAGGUCUCCGUCUGAUGGUCGUGUGACGAUAGUGUCAUUAUCAGUGUGAAAUAAAGUAUCCCUGCCUUAUCCUUGCUUCGGUGAUGCUUCCUCGGAUCACCGGGAGGCAUGUGAAAGCUGGUGUGUCCUCAGAUCUUGUUCUUUCGGUUUGGCAUUUUUUUUGUAGGUUUGUCUUGCCUGCACUGUCCCGCAAUGCUGAGUACAUGGUUGUACAUCUUGAUCCACGAUGCAUGAAGUUAUGAAUCAGACAUAUACGGAAAAAUUAUAUGUUCUAUUUAAAGAAGUUUUUGAAGAAGCUUAUGAUAAGAUUAAUUGGCUUUCCCUCAAUUUUUUCCUUGAAAAAGGUUUCCUCACGACCAUAUAUUAAUUGGAUCAUGCAGAUUGUGACACAUGGUAAAGUAGUGGUGAUGGUCAAUGACCAAAAUGGCCCGUUUUCACAACAACAACAACAAAAGGUCUGAUGCACCAGGAUUGUAUGUCUCUUAUUUUUGUUAAAAUUAUUGUACAUCUUCUUAGUUUACUUAUUUCUCAAGCACACUGGCAUGGUUAGCUGCAGGGGCUAAUUCCAAAUUUUCUAAAUUAUAUUCUUGGUUUAUUUGAUUUUUUCUUCUCUUUUCUCAUUGCAUAUUAAAUCAUCUCCAUAGCAGAAGGAAAAUGCAGCUUAUCAUAAUAACUACUCCAUCCAUCCAUAUUUAUAGGGCCGUUGAGAUUUACUUUGAUCAUUACAUAGAUCAAUAAUUAUGAUGUGUGUUACAAAAGUAUACUAAUUUGAAAGGAGUUUCUAAUGGCAUAGUUUUUAUAGCAUGCACCUUAUACAUUAUCGGUCUUGUCGAUAGUCAAUGCAGUUCUUGAAAUACGUAUUAUUAGGCCCUCUGUUUUCCGGAUUGAGCGUGUAGGAUCAUGCCCGACCAAACAUGCUUUUAGAUUUGCAUAGCAUGAAUUUAUAACCCCACCUAUGUGAGUUUAAUUAGGUUUUGGUGCAACUUAUAGAGAUUUGUGCACGAAGCUAGCUAAGGCCAUGCUUGGAUCCAAGGGACUAUUUUUAGUCUGACUAAAACUAGUCUCUUUUAGAGGCUAAAGUUCCAAUCACCCCUGACUAAAGAGAGGCUAGAACUAGUCUUGAGACUAAAAAAUUUUAGUCAAGGGAACCCUAUUAAAAUGUGGAUUAGUCCUCUCUCUCCUCAUUUAACUCCUCUCCUUUAACACAUGCGAGUUCGGGAUUGGAGGGUUUGGAGGAUAAUAAAUGCUCAUUAACACAUUUUAGUCUAUUUAGUAUUUGUAUCCAAGCAUGGGUGAGGCUAGCAAGUUUUAGUCCCACUACUUUUAGUCAUGGGACUAAAACGUAUCCAAGCACCCUCUAAGAGCCACAGAUAUAUGAUCGGAGGUUACACCAUAGUGGCAUUCCACAGAAGGAUGUGCCAUGGAGAAGUCGUGAACUUUUGCAUUGCUCGGUGUGUCCUCAUCCGACAGUUUCAGGAUCAUAUUUUUAAGCAUCGGCGCGCAUCUUAAUAGAUGUUUCAGGAAGUCAAACUCGUGGUCGUCUCCUUGAAAACCAUCGAUUUCCACUUCUUCAAGCUCGGCAAGGUGAUAGUUUGGCUUGUCCAGUCAUUAGCCUCGCACGCCCUCACCCGAGUGCUUGAGAAUCACAUUGACGAGCAUUGGUGCACAUCUCAAUAGAUGUUCCAGGAAGUCAAACUCACGCUUGUCUCCUUGGAAACCAUCGAUUUCCACUUCUUCAAGCUUCGUCAAGGAAACAAUUUGGCUUGUCCAAUCGGCUGGCUCGCAGUCACAAUAUUCUUGACAUUUCUCUUUGUCUUAAGAAUAAAAAUUAAUAUAAAAGGAAGAAUCACUAUAUACACAAUAUGAAAAUAACUGUUAUGUUGAACAAGGACUACCGUGGAUUGGGGUACGGCAACCCUGAGCCUACGUAUGGCAGUACAAAUCUUAUGCAUCCGGAGGAAGUAAAAAGCUACUGCUCCAUCUGAAGGAAAUAUGCCCUAGAGGCAAUAAUAAAGUUAUUAUUUAUUUUCUUAUUUUAUGAUAAAUGUUUAUUAUUCAUGCUAAAAUUAUAUUAACCGGAAACUCAGUACAUGUGUGAAUACAUAGACAAAAUAGAGUGUCACUAGUAUGCCUCUACUUGACUAGCUCGUUGAAUCAAAGAUGGUUAAGUUUCCUAGCCAUAGACAUGAGUUGUCAUUUGAUUAACGGGAUCACAUCAUUAGAGAAUGAUGUGAUUGACUUGACCCAUUAUGUUAGCUUAGCAUUUGAUCGUUUAGUAUAUUGCUAUUGCUUUCUUCAUGACUUAUACAUGUUCCUAUGACUAUGAGAUUAUGCAACUCCCGAAUACCGGAGGAACACUUUGUGUGCUACCAAACGUCACAACAUAACUGGGUGAUUAUAAAGGUGAUCUACAGGUGUCUCGAUGGUACUUGUUGAGUUGGCAUAGAUCGAGAUUAGGAUUUGUCACUUUGACUGUCGGAGAGGUAUCUCUGGGCCAUCUCGGUAAUGCACAUCACUAUAAGCCUUGCAAGCAAUGUGACUAACGAGUUAGUUGCGGGAUGAUGCAUUACAGAAUGAGUAAAGAGACUUGCCGGUAAUGAGAUUGAACUAGGUAUUGAGAUACCGACGAUCGAAUCUCGGGCAAGUAACAUACCGAUGACAAAGGGAACAACGUAUGUUGUUAUGCGGUUUGACCGAUAAAGAUCUUCGUAGAAUAUGUGGGAGCCAAUAUGAGCAUCCAGGUUCCGCUAUUGGUUAUUGAACGGAGACGUGUCUCGGUCAUGUCUACAUAGUUCUCGAACUCGUAGGGUCCGCACGCUUAACAUUAGGUGACGAUCGAUAUUAUGAGUUUAUGUGUUUUGAUGUACCGAAGGUUGUUCGGAGUCCCGGAUAUGAUCACGGACAAGACGAGGAGUCUCGAAAUGGUCAAGACAUAAAGAUCGAUAUAUCGGACGAUUAUAUUUGGACAUCGGAAUGGUUCCGGGUGAGAUCGGGCAUUUACUGGGUACCGGAAGGUUACCGGAACCCCCCGGGAGGUAUAUGGGCCUUAUUGGGCCAUAAUAGGAGAGAGGAAAAGGGAGGAAAGGAGGGGGCGCCCCCCCCCCCCCGAAGCCCAAUCCGAAUUGGGAGGGGGCCCCCUUUCCUUCCUCCUUCCUCCCCCUUCCUUCUCUCCUAAUCCAACUAGGGAAGGGGGGAAUCCUACUCCCGGUGAGAGUAGGACUCCCCUUGGGGCGCGCCUAGGAGGCCGGCGCCCUCCCCCUCCUCCACUACUUUAUAUACGGGGGAGGGGGCACCCCAUAGACACACAAGUUAAUCAUUGAUCUCUUAGCCAUGUACGGUGCCCUCCUCCACCAUAAUCCACCUCGGUCAUAUCGUCGUAGUGCUUAGGUGAAGCCUUGCGCCGGUAGCUUCAUCAUCACCGUCAUCACGCCAUCGUGCUGACAAAGCUCUCCCUCGACACUUUGCUGGAUCGUGAGUUCGUGGGACGUCACCAAGCUGAACUUGUGCAAAUCGUGGAGCUGCGUACCUUCGGUGCUAGGAUCAGUCGAUCGUGAAGACGUACGACUACAUCAACCACAUUGUCAUAACGCUUCCGCUUACGGUCUACGAGGGUAUGUGGACUACACUCUCCCCUCUCGUUGCUAUGCAUCACCAUGAUCUUGCAUGUGCGUAGGAAAUUUUUGAAAUUACUAUGUUCCCCAACAGUGGUAUCCGAGCUAGGUUUAUGCGCAGAUAUUAUAUGCACGAGUAGAACACAAGUGAGUUGUGGGCGAUAAUAGUCAUACUGCUUAUCAGCAUGUCAUACUUUGAUUCGGCGAUAUUGUUGGUUGAAGCGGCCAGGACCAACAUUACGCGUAUGCUUACGCGAGACUGGUUCUACCGACGUGCUUCGCACACAUGUGGCUGACGGGUGUCAGUUUCUCCAACUUUAGUUUAAUCGAGUGUGGCUACACCCGGUCCUUUUUGAAGGUUAAAACAACACAUACUUGAUGAAAAAUCAUUAUGGUUUUGAUGCGUAGGUAAGAACGGUUCUUGCUCAGCCCAUAGCAGCCACGUAAAACUUGCAACAACAAAGUAGAGGACAUCUAACUUGUUUUUGCAGGGCAUUUGUGAUGUGAUAUGGUUAAGACAUGAUGCUAAAUUUUAUUGUAUGAGAUGAUCAUGUUUUGUAAUGGAGUUAUCGGCAACUGGCAGGAGCCAUAUGGUUGUCGCGUUAUUGUAUGAAAUGCAAACGCCAUGUAAUUGCUUUAUUUUAUCACUAAGCGGUAGCGAUAGUCGUAGAAGCAAUAGUUGGCGAGACGACAACGAUGCUUUGAUGGACAUCAAGGUGUCAAGCCGGUGACGAUGGUGAUCAACUGAUCAUGACGGAGCUUUGGAGAUGGAGAUCAAAGGCACAAGAUGAUGAUGAUCAUAUCAUAUCACUUAUAUUGAUUGCAUGUGAUGUUUAUCCUUUAUGCAUCUUAUUUUGCUUAGUUCGACGGUAGCAUUAUAAGAUGAUCUCUCACUAAAUUUCAAGGUACAAGUGUUCUCCCUGAGUAUGCACCGUUGCGAAAGUUCAUCGUGCCGAGACACCACGUGAUGAUCGGGUGUGAUAAGCUCUACGUUCACAUACAACGGGUGCAAGCCAGUUUUGCACACGCAGAAUACUCGGGUUAAACUUGACGAGCCUAGAAUAUGCAGAUAUGGCCUCGAAACACUGAGACCGAAAGGUCGAGCGUGAAUCAUAUAGUAGAUAUUGAUCAACAUAGUGAUGUUCACCAUUGAAAACUACUCCAUCUCACGUGAUGAUCGGACAUGGUUUAGUUGAUAUGGAUCACGUGAUCACUUAGAUGAUUAGAGGGAUGUCUAUCUAAGUGGGAGUCCUUAAGUAAUUUGAUUAAUUGAACUUUAAUUUAUCAUGAACUUAGUCCUGAUAGUAUUUGCAUAACUAUGUUGUAGAUCAAUAGCUCGCGAUGUAGCUCCCCGUUUAUUUUUGAUAUGUUCCUAGAGAAAAACUAUGUUGAAAGAUGAUAUUAGCAAUGAUGCGGACUAGGUCCAUGAUCUGAGGAUUAUCCUCAUUGCUGCACAGAAGAAUUAUGUCCUUGAUGCACCGCUAGGUGCAGAUGCAAACGUUAUGAACGUUUGACAAGCUCGGUGUGAUGAGUAUUUGAUAGUUUAGUGCAUCAUGCUUUACGGCUUAGAACCGGGACUUCAAAAAUGUUUUGAACGCCGCGGAGCAUAUAAGAUGUUCCAAGAGUUGAAAUUGGAUCAUACUCAUUCCCGUGUCAAAAGGUAUGAGACCUCUGACAGUACUUUGCCUACAAGAUGGAGGAGAAUAGCUCAACCAGUGAGCAUGUGCUCAAAUUAUCUGGGUAUGACAAUUGCUUGAAUCAAGUGGGAGUUAAUAUUCCAGAUAAGAUAGUAAUUGACAAAGUUCUCUAGUCACUAUCACCAAGUUACUAAAACUUUGUGAUGAACUAUAAUAUGCAAGGGAUGACAAAAGUAAUUCUCGAGCUCUUCGCGAUGCUGAAUCAGCGAAGGUGGAAAUCAAGAAAUAGCAUCAAGUGUUGAUGGUUAACAAGACCACUAGUUUCAAGAAAAGGGCAAAUGAUAGAAAGGGAACUUCAAGAAGAAUAACAAGCACGUUGUCACUCCCGUGAAGAAGUCCAAAGCUAGACCCAAGCCUGAUACUGACACUACAAAAAAAAGACACAUCCGUGACAUUUUUGGGCCGAACGAAUUUUUUUUCUGUCAUACAUAUGACACUUCUAUGACGAUAAUUGUGAAAAAACCCGGUAUCAUCAUAGAUGUGGUGGGCUCCUACUUCUAUGACAAAAAAUUAUGACAGAAAAUGAGCUUUUCAUCCUGGGUGGGCCGAAGACGCAGCUACAUGACAUUCUUUGGGCCGUCCAUGACGGAAAAAACCGUGGUAGAAGCGAGGGGGAGGAAAAUUUUGGGGAGUUCCCGGUUACGGUGGGAGGUCACGGGCCGAGCGAUGUGUGUUUCUCUCGUACACGUACGCGCGUGUGUGCGAGUGUCACAGCCCUAGAAUUGUUUGGAGAUAGUUGCAUCAGUGAGCAUCAUGCAUCCUGUUAAUUUCAACAAACUUGAAAUGAGGAAAGUGAAAGCCUCAAAAAUCAAUUUAAAAGAAGGGCAAGAACCCUUUAAAUUGCAUUCAUUGUUUUCAAAAUGCCUUCAUAAAUGUUUGUUAAUUUUGGCAAGGCUUUGAGACCAAACCAAAAAUAGGGAACAUUUUUGUGGAAUAUUUUGGGCACUGAAUUUAAAUCGCUAUCCUAUUUGAAUUUGGAAAUAUACCCAAAUAUAUAUAGGAUAUAUCUCCAAAUAGCUCUAAUAUAUUUUAUGUGCAUUUGGAAAAGUCCAUUUUGCAAUAUGAAAUUAUUAGAGGAUAAUUGACACUGUUUUGAAUUUUAAAAGCAGUGGCAAAGAUAAAAUGAAAACAAACAGAAACAGAGAGAGAGAGAGAGAGAGAGAGAGAGAGAGAGAGAGAGUUACCUGGACUUACCUCUGCAGCCCACCUGGCGGCCCAAGUGGCCGGCCCAGCCCACCACCGCCUCCUUCCCUGUCGUCUUCCUCCUCUGCCAGAAGGACGGGCGCGUGCCCGACGAGCGCGCACCGCAGUGCGGCCACCUCCACCCUGCCUGGCUGCCCCCUCGUCGCUCUGGACCCUCCCCGCGACGCCACGCAACCUCCUCGACCCCCUCGAGAUUUCUCCCGUGCCUCUCCCCUCCUCUGGUCCUCUCUCCCUCUCGCGCCGAGCACCACUGUCGCCGCCGCCCGCUGUCCCCGUGGCCACCGAGCUCCCCUCGCCUCUCCGAGCAGACCACGGGCUCUGCCUCCAUCUCCCGCGUCUCUCCGUCAGCUCGCACGACGCCGGACGCCCUGCCUCGCCCUCUACCCCGCCAUCUUCGUCAUCUCUGCCCCGAGAUCGCCGGCGGCCGCACGACCUCAUCAUCCCCUCCUCGAGCACGCCGAGGCCACCUCUGCACUCGCCGUGAGCUCCUGCUCCCAACCCCUCUCUCCCCUUCGUCGAUUUCCUCCUCUAGGCCCUUUGGCCACCUCGACCGAAGCUCGCCGCCAUUGCGCUUCGUCGCCGCCGUGGGUAGAGCCCACCUCCGCCGCGCCUGAGAGCGUCAUCGUGCUCAGCACGUUUGCAGGAGCCCGUAGCGCCCACUAGCUCCUCCUCAC
This 28174-nucleotide long non-coding RNA is filed under the name Triticum aestivum (bread wheat). RNAcentral describes it as "long non-coding RNA (TAES_LNC015447)". The stretch from base 6323 to 6409 matches the Rfam family "MIR1120/MIR1122 microRNA precursor family". The record is from RNAcentral. Lineage: Eukaryota; Viridiplantae; Streptophyta; Magnoliopsida; Poales; Poaceae.